AUACGUAGGGUGCAAGCGUUAAUCGGAAUUACUGGGCGUAAAGCGUGCGCAGGCGGUUUUGUAAGACAGAGGUGAAAUCCCCGGGGUCAACCUGGGAACUGGCUUUGUGACCGCAAGGCUAGAGUACGGCAGAGGGGGAUGGGAUUCCUCGUGGUAGAGUGAAAAGCGUAGAUAUGCGGAGGAACACCGAUGGCGAAGGCAAUCCCCUGGGCCUGUACUGACGCUCAUGCACGAAAGCGUGGGGAGCAAACAGGAUUAGAUACCCUGGUAGUCCACGCCCUAAACGAUGUCAACUGGUUGUUGGGUCUUCAUUGACUCAGUAACGAAGCUAACGCGUGAAGUUGACCGCCUGGGGAGUACGGCCGCAAGGUUGAAACUCAAAUGAAUUGGCGGGG
Molecule: ribosomal RNA, 395 nt
Filed under: uncultured bacterium
Lineage: Bacteria
Description: partial 16S ribosomal RNA
Rfam family: Bacterial small subunit ribosomal RNA
Source: RNAcentral